CCGCAUCUACUUUAAGCUGCUGCUGGAGUUCUUCAUACUUUCGUUGAACCUCAGCUUCUCUCGCUGCUGCAUCUGCUUUCAGUUGUAGCUGGAGUUCUUCAUAUCUUUUUUGAACCUCAGCUUCUCUCGAUGUUGCCUCCGCUUUAAGUUGUGUAAUUUGCUAAAUUGUUGUCGCUUGCAUCUGAGCCAUCUGGUCUCUUAACCUCUGAACUUCAGCUUCGGCUCGACUCCUCGAAGGCAUAUAUUGUUGCG
Molecule: long non-coding RNA, 252 nt
Filed under: Gossypium barbadense (sea-island cotton)
Lineage: Eukaryota; Viridiplantae; Streptophyta; Magnoliopsida; Malvales; Malvaceae
Description: long non-coding RNA (GBAR_LNC019375)
Source: RNAcentral